AGGUUCAAAGAGGCUAAGAUCUUACUUGAAGAAGAAGGAUCUACCAUGAGAAGAAAGAUUCAAGAUUGAUCCCGGUGGAUAUCUAUAGAGGUUGGAUACGUGUGCGGCUCCAGAAACUUCAGAUCUAAGAUCAUCAGUAGUGAUGUAUUUUUACCCAUGCAAAGGUAUUGAGAUUCGAUCUCAUCUUUAUUUUAAUUUUUAAAUUAUAUGCAUAUCUUUAUUCCUGGGCUC
This 231-nucleotide long non-coding RNA is filed under the name Elaeis guineensis (African oil palm). RNAcentral describes it as "long non-coding RNA (EGUI_LNC060541)". Lineage: Eukaryota; Viridiplantae; Streptophyta; Magnoliopsida; Arecales; Arecaceae. The record is from RNAcentral.